RNAcentral lists this transfer-messenger RNA (340 nucleotides) under Ruminococcus gauvreauii. It matches the Rfam family "transfer-messenger RNA". Rfam says of the family: Bacterial tmRNA, also known as 10Sa RNA or SsrA, is named for its dual tRNA and mRNA-like properties. Its role is to liberate the mRNA from a stalled ribosome. To accomplish this part of the tmRNA is used as a reading frame that ends in a translation stop signal. The record is from RNAcentral. Lineage: Bacteria; Bacillati; Bacillota; Clostridia; Eubacteriales; Oscillospiraceae.
GGGGUAGUACCGGUUUCGACGGGGGUCUUGAAGAUGGAGAAGCUAUCCGUACGCGAUGCGUCAAAUCGCAAAACUUAAAUUUAAACGCAGACGAAAACGUAGCGUUAGCAGCCUAGUUGCUGCUCGUCAGCCCUUGUGCACUCACACAUGAGGAAUCUGGCGCCGAUCUUGUGAGAAACGAUGCGGGCAAAGCUUUGAGCCUGUAGGCGUAAUAUGAAGCUACCAAAACCAUCAGGGUGUCUGUUUCCGGGUGGCGGAGGGAAUGUCAAAGAACAGACUAUGAUAGUAGAAGUACAUGGGAUAGAUUUUCGGACACGGGUUCAACUCCCGUCUACUCCAU